This 443-nucleotide ribosomal RNA is filed under the name Mammaliicoccus sciuri. Its description in RNAcentral is "bacterial SSU rRNA". It matches the Rfam family "Bacterial small subunit ribosomal RNA", at positions 93 to 522 of the family's 1533-position model. The record is from RNAcentral. RNAcentral also lists the same sequence under 1 other name. Lineage: Bacteria; Bacillati; Bacillota; Bacilli; Caryophanales; Staphylococcaceae.
UAGCGGCGGACGGGUGAGUAACACGUGGGUAACCUACCUAUAAGACUGGGAUAACUCCGGGAAACCGGGGCUAAUACCGGAUAAUAUUUUGAACCGCAUGGUUCAAUAGUGAAAGACGGUUUCGGCUGUCACUUAUAGAUGGACCCGCGCCGUAUUAGCUAGUUGGUAAGGUAACGGCUUACCAAGGCGACGAUACGUAGCCGACCUGAGAGGGUGAUCGGCCACACUGGAACUGAGACACGGUCCAGACUCCUACGGGAGGCAGCAGUAGGGAAUCUUCCGCAAUGGGCGAAAGCCUGACGGAGCAACGCCGCGUGAGUGAUGAAGGUCUUCGGAUCGUAAAACUCUGUUGUUAGGGAAGAACAAAUUUGUUAGUAACUGAACAAGUCUUGACGGUACCUAACCAGAAAGCCACGGCUAACUACGUGCCAGCAGCCGCGUAA